Molecule: non-coding RNA, 2422 nt
Organism: Aegilops tauschii subsp. strangulata
Lineage: Eukaryota; Viridiplantae; Streptophyta; Magnoliopsida; Poales; Poaceae
Source: RefSeq, a predicted model, not a curated record
UCUGCAAUUAGUAAAAAAAAAUGACUAACGCAGUUAGCGGACUACAUGGGUGCACUGACCAAGCUCUAUUUAUAUUACCCGUUUUCCGUUUGAGUGAUGUUACUUUGCUUGAAAUUUUGAGAUUGCACUAUUAGCUUACUGUCAGGUCUGCACCAUUCUAGAUAUCAUCUUGACUUUUAACUUCUUCAAAUGCAAUAUUAGAUAACAUAAAUAGGAAAAAAUAUCAAAUUGUGAAACUGUAAGUAAUAGCCUCACCUAAAUAUUGAUCUGUUGUGUUAUUUCAGGGAAGAGGUAUGAAAUUCUCAACUUAGGAAGGAACAUCCAACCUGUAAUGUGUCGAUCACUAACUAAUAAACAUGAAUAUGAUGUUGGAAAGAAGCAAUUGGAUAUCAAAGCAAAAGGAUCACGGCUCCUCUUACAAAUCAGUGAAGUAUUCUAAUUCUGGCGAUCUAAGCGUCGGUCCAGGGUGAUUUACCUCUUCCAGCCACUUUCAGUUUGUUCCAAUUCAGUCCCCUCUUAGUUUGUGCUAAAAGAAAGUUAUUGUUAGGGAUUUGAGUUUACCCUUUUAACGUGUGCUUGUGCUAGAGCAGCGGCGCUCCCUCGGCUACGCCUGGGUGUUCGAGCUGUCAGUGUGGUACAGGAGCAUCAGCCACCACCGCUGCCAAGGAGCUCCAGCAACCACAUGAUCACUCUUGCUUCACAGACUAUGUAUGGUCAGUUCAGGUAAUUUUUCCUCGGUGAUUGUUGGCACCCAGGAUGUUACAAUCUUAUUCAUGAUCUAAUAAUUAGCUAGGAAUUUUUUAAAUAGGAUUUUAAUCAGUUAAUGUUUCUUCAUUUGGUCCAGAAAAUUGGAGGUUUUAGGAUCUUUGGAAGUUCUUUGAGGCAUCACCCUUCUUCUCCGCAGUUGAAAGGCCUUGAGCAGCUAAGAUAACUCAAAUGUGUACGCUCAUUCAAAGAACAUGGUUCAGGCCUUAACCAUGUAUGUUUGACGAAGUACAGCGUGGGGGAGGCAGUGUCCUCUGCAGCAAGGUCUACUUGCUGGCGACCUCACCAUCACCAACCCAUCUGCAGGUAUGCUAGCUCUUCAAAUGGAUUGAGUGGUACCCUCCUGAAAGUAUUGUAGGGAUGGACAUAUGGAUUGAUUGGUAGCCCCCUGAAAGCUACACAGAUUUGAACCAAUAACUUUAAUAAGAAUGUGUAUCCCAGCUCCUUUUAUAAUCUUGAAUCCUUAUCGGUCCUACUAAACUGUAAAUCAUGUUUCUUUUUGGAAACAAUAUUGGACUUAUACUAAUUAAGGUAGCUACAUGGGGACCUUUUGUUCUGCCCAGAUUUGAUGAUUUCUCUCAAUAUACUGCUGGUGAUGUAGUUGGCAAUGAUUAGGUGGGCGGUUCUUCGCAUUGCAGUCUGUAUUUAAGUUUGGACAAUUGGCUGCUAAUUUAUCAUGUGAAUAUGUUCUCUCUCUGCAGAUGAAGAUAGAAAAUAUUUGUUAUAUUCUUAUCCAAUUAGUUCACACCAUUGUUGUGAGCAACAGAAGAUUCAGAACUUUCAAGCUCCUUUUUUUCUUGCUAGCCAUGAAGGUGAUACUUUAGUAAAAGGUGCAUACAGUACUAACAUUUUUGCUAUCUUUAUGCUCCUCCAUAUGGAUGGGAACUAAAAGGAUGAUGAUAUUAUUCUACCUUUCAAUAUUUGGCGGCGCAUAUUUAAGAAAAUCACAGCUAAGCAUGUCACUUUCUAGAAAGGCGCUUGACUGGAAUGUAUAUGUAUAUAGUUAAUAAAAUCAUAGUGAUUGAUUUUUCAGUUCCUCUAUUUAGAUUAGAGGUGUCUGCAUGCAUAUUAGCCAAGUGAUUGGUCUUUCCAGUUCAAAAAAGAGAAAGUGACCGAUGGUUUGGCAUAUUUUCCUAUUAGGAAUAAAUGGAUAUGCCCAUGCACGUAUGCACACAGAUUUCAGGUUACAGUGUAAUUAGGAAACACAUGAUACCUCAUUGUGCCGUCUUGGUCUGAGAAGAGGGGAUAUACUUCGUGAAUAUAUAUGUUCCACCCAACCGUUGAUUUCAGAGAAAAGGACAUGCACUUCAGUAGCAAAAAUUUGAUUGUUACUAUGUACUAUCUGUAAUGCUAAGCAUUUAUUUGCUAAUCUCCUCAUCUGAAUUUGUGUUUUGUGCCAUUUGGCCUUUUAACUAUAUGGGCAUCUGCAGAUGGUCUGAAAACCAAGAUAUGCCAGAGAUAAUAACUAUAGUGGCUGCUCCAGAUGGACUAAGAAUGGGACCAUAUCCUAGGCCUACAUGCUAAUAUUGUACACCAAUGAAUGCUUCACUUAUUUAUACUUAUAAUCAGAUGUGUAAUGAUAAACGCGAUAUUAGCUUUUGUACCCAUCUUCAUGGUUGAAAUACUUUUCUGCAACCCGUGACACAUUUGCUUCAGU